This 376-nucleotide ribosomal RNA is filed under the name uncultured bacterium. Its description in RNAcentral is "bacterial SSU rRNA". It matches the Rfam family "Bacterial small subunit ribosomal RNA", at positions 524 to 898 of the family's 1533-position model. The record is from RNAcentral.
UACGAAGGUGGCAAGCGUUGUUCGGAAUCACUGGACUUAAAGCGCGCGUAGGCGGAACAUUAAGUGUUUUGUGAAAUCCCUCGGCUCAACCGAGGAACUGCAGAACAUACUGAUGUUCUUGAGGCAAUCAGGGGUGCAUGGAACUCUGGGUGGAGCGGUGAAAUGCGUAGAUAUCCAGAGGAACGCCAGCGGAGAAAUCGGUGCACUGGGAUUGUUCUGACGCUGAGGUGCGAAAGCGUGGGUAGCGAACGGGAUUAGAUACCCCGGUAGUCCACGCUGUAAACGAUGCCUACUAGAUCGCGGAAGUUCUGACGCUUUCGCGGUCGAAGCAAAAGUGUUAAGUAGGCCGCCUGGGGAGUACGGUCGCAAGGCUAAA